This 1362-nucleotide ribosomal RNA is filed under the name bacterium. Its description in RNAcentral is "bacterial SSU rRNA". It matches the Rfam family "Bacterial small subunit ribosomal RNA", at positions 67 to 1440 of the family's 1533-position model. The record is from RNAcentral.
CGAUGACCCCGUGCUUGCACGGGUGAUUAGUGGCGAACGGGUGAGUAACACGUGAGUAACCUGCCCCCGACUUUGGGAUAAGCCCGGGAAACUGGGUCUAAUACCGGAUAUGACUUCUUACCGCAUGGUGGGUUGUUGAAAGAUUUAUCGGUGGGGGAUGGACUCGCGGCCUAUCAGCUUGUUGGUGAGGUAAUGGCUCACCAAGGCGACGACGGGUAGCCGGCCUGAGAGGGUGACCGGCCACACUGGGACUGAGACACGGCCCAGACUCCUACGGGAGGCAGCAGUGGGGAAUAUUGCACAAUGGGCGAAAGCCUGAUGCAGCGACGCCGCGUGAGGGAUGACGGCCUUCGGGUUGUAAACCUCUUUCAGUAGGGAAGAAGCGAAAGUGACGGUACCUGCAGAAGAAGCGCCGGCUAACUACGUGCCAGCAGCCGCGGUAAUACGUAGGGCGCAAGCGUUAUCCGGAUUUAUUGGGCGUAAAGAGCUCGUAGGCGGUUUGUCGCGUCUGCCGUGAAAGUCCGAGGCUCAACCUCGGAUCUGCGGUGGGUACGGGCAGACUAGAGUGAUGUAGGGGAGACUGGAAUUCCUGGUGUAGCGGUGAAAUGCGCAGAUAUCAGGAGGAACACCGAUGGCGAAGGCAGGUCUCUGGGCAUUUACUGACGCUGAGGAGCGAAAGCAUGGGGAGCGAACAGGAUUAGAUACCCUGGUAGUCCAUGCCGUAAACGUUGGGCACUAGGUGUGGGGGACAUUCCACGUUUUCCGCGCCGUAGCUAACGCAUUAAGUGCCCCGCCUGGGGAGUACGGCCGCAAGGCUAAAACUCAAAGGAAUUGACGGGGGCCCGCACAAGCGGCGGAGCAUGCGGAUUAAUUCGAUGCAACGCGAAGAACCUUACCAAGGCUUGACAUGUGCCAGACCGCCUCAGAGAUGGGGUUUCCCUUCGGGGCUGGUUCACAGGUGGUGCAUGGUUGUCGUCAGCUCGUGUCGUGAGAUGUUGGGUUAAGUCCCGCAACGAGCGCAACCCUCGUUCCAUGUUGCCAGCACGUAGUGGUGGGGACUCAUGGGAGACUGCCGGGGUCAACUCGGAGGAAGGUGGGGAUGACGUCAAAUCAUCAUGCCCCUUAUGUCUUGGGCUUCACGCAUGCUACAAUGGCCGGUACAAUGGGUUGCGAUACUGUGAGGUGGAGCUAAUCCCUAAAAGCCGGUCUCAGUUCGGAUUGGGGUCUGCAACUCGACCCCAUGAAGUCGGAGUCGCUAGUAAUCGCAGAUCAGCAACGCUGCGGUGAAUACGUUCCCGGGCCUUGUACACACCGCCCGUCAAGUCACGAAAGUUGGUAACACCCGAAGCCGAUGGCCUAACC